RNAcentral lists this ribosomal RNA (241 nucleotides) under Escherichia coli. RNAcentral's name for it is "partial 23S ribosomal RNA". It matches the Rfam family "Bacterial large subunit ribosomal RNA", at positions 2335 to 2575 of the family's 2925-position model. Lineage: Bacteria; Pseudomonadati; Pseudomonadota; Gammaproteobacteria; Enterobacterales; Enterobacteriaceae. The record is from RNAcentral.
AAAUCAUUCGCAGAGUGCAAAGGCAUAAGGGAGCUUGACUGCGAGACCUACAAGUCGAGCAGGGACGAAAGUCGGGCUUAGUGAUCCGGUGGUUCCGCAUGGAAGGGCCAUCGCUCAACGGAUAAAAGCUACCCUGGGGAUAACAGGCUUAUCUCCCCCAAGAGUCCACAUCGACGGGGAGGUUUGGCACCUCGAUGUCGGCUCGUCGCAUCCUGGGGCUGUAGUCGGUCCCAAGGGUUGG